UGGGGAAUAUUGCACAAUGGGCGCAAGCCUGAUGCAGCCAUGCCGCGUGUAUGAAGAAGGCCUUCGGGUUGUAAAGUACUUUCAGCGGGGAGGAAGGGAGUAAAGUUAAUACCUUUGCUCAUUGACGUUACCCGCAGAAGAAGCACCGGCUAACUCCGUGCCAGCAGCCGCGGUAAUACGGAGGGUGCAAGCGUUAAUCGGAAUUACUGGGCGUAAAGCGCACUCAGGCGGUUUGUUAAGUCAGAUGUGAAAUCCCCGGGCUCAACCUGGGAACUGCAUCUGAUACUGGCAAGCUUGAGUCUCGUAGAGGGGGGUAGAAUUCCAGGUGUAGCGGUGAAAUGCGUAGAGAUCUGGAGGAAUACCGGUGGCGAAGGCGGCCCCCUGGACGAAGACUGACGCUCAGGUGCGAAAGCGUGGGGAGCAAACAGG
Molecule: ribosomal RNA, 429 nt
Filed under: Chloroflexota bacterium
Lineage: Bacteria; Bacillati; Chloroflexota
Description: Chloroflexi bacterium partial 16S ribosomal RNA
Rfam family: Bacterial small subunit ribosomal RNA
Source: RNAcentral